GCUUUUCAUUGACCAUGGGUUGGAAUAGUUCUGUGGGCAUAGUGUGUCUUCGAAGCCACUAUGUUUUCUGCACUUGUGAGUAGAGAGCACCUUGAUAGCUCAGUUGGUAGAGCGGUGAACUGUAAGAUGCUCCUUGUGUGAAACGCUGUGAUCCUAAGGUCGCUGGUUCAACUCCAGCCGGAAGCACCUCCUUGUCAUUGGAAAUACCCCCACGCCUUGUCUUUAUCUGUCAACUCCUCCAAAAUGUAAAAACACAAACAAGAUAACUCUUUCUUAAAUUUUCAACCAUCAAUUUUUUAUUCACCCAGCCUAAAAGUCCUGAUUAUCAGUUCUGGGUCCCUGGCAAUGACUGUUGGGUACAAACUGCAAAGCUUUGUUGUGCAGGUAGGGCUGGGCUUUUCAUUGACCAUGGGUUGGAAUAGUUCUGUGGGCAUAGUGUGUCUUCGAAGCCACUAUGUUUUCUGCACUUGUGACUAGAGAGCACCUUGAUAGCUCAGUUGGCAGAGCGGUGGACUGUAAGAUGCUCCUUGUGUGAAACGCUGUGAUCCUAAGGUCGCUGGUUCAAUUCCAACCGCAAGCACCUCCUUGUCAUUGGAAAUACCCCCAAGCCUUGUCUUUAUCUGUCAACUCCUCCAAAAUGUAAAAACACAAACAAGAUAACUCUUUCUUAAAUUUUCAACCAUCAAUUUUUUAUUCACCCAGCCUAAAAGUCCUGAUUAUCAGUUCUGGGUCCCUGGCAAUGACUGUUGGGUACAAACUGCAAAGCUUUGUUCGUCAGGUAGGGCUGGGCUUUUCAUUGACCAUGGGUUGGAAUAGUUCUGUGGGCAUAGUGUGCCUUCGAAGCCACUAUGUUUUCCGCACUUGUGACUAGAGAGCACCUUGAUAGCUCAGUUUGUAGAGCGGUGGACUGUAAGAUGCUCCUUGUGUGAAACGCUUUGAUCCUAAGGUCACUGGUUCAACUCCAGCCGGAAGCACCUCCUUGUCAUUGGAAAUACCCCCAAGCCUUCUCUUUAUCUGUCAACUCCUCCAAAAUGUAAAAACACAAACAAGAUAACUCAUUCUUAAAUUUUUAACCAUCAAUUUUUUAUUCACCCAGCCUAAAAGUCCUGAUUAUCAGUUCUGGGUCCCUGGCAAUGACUGUUGGGUACAAACUGCAAAGCUUUGUUGUGCAGGUAGGGCUGGGCUUUUCAUUGACCAUGGGUUGGAAUAGUUCUGUGGGCAUAGUGUGUCUUAGAAGCCACUAUGUUUUCUGCACUUGUGACUAGAGAGCACCUUGAUAGCUCAGUUGGCAGAGCGGUGGACUGUAAGAUGCUGCUUGUGUGAAACGCUUUGAUCCUAAGGUUGCUGGUUCAACUCCAGCCGGAAGCACCUCCUUGUCAUUGGAAAUACCCCCAAGCCUUGUCUUUAUCUGUCAACUCCUCCAAAAUGUAAAAACACAAACAAGAUAACUCUUUCUUAAAUUUUCAACCAUCAAUUUUUUAUUCACCCAGCCUAAAAGUCCUGAUUAUCAGUUCUGGGUCCCUGGCAAUGACUGUUGGGUACAAACUGCAAAGCUUUGUUCUGCAGGUAGGGCUGGGCUUUUCAUUGACCAUGGGUUGGAAUAGUUCUGUGGGCAUAGUGUGUCUUCGAAGCCACUAUGUUUUCUGCACUUGUGACUAGGGAGCACCUUGAUAGCUCAGUUGGUAGAGUGGUGCACUGUAAGAUGCUCCUUGUGUGAAACGCUGUGAUCCUAAGUUGGCUGGUUCAACUCCAGCCGGAAGCACCUCCUUGUCAUUGGAAAUACCCCCAAGCCUUGUCUUUAUCUGUCAACUCCUCCAAAAUGUAAAAACACAAACAAGAUAACUCUUUCUUAAAUUUUCAACCAUCAAUUUUUUAUUCACCCAGCCUAAAAGUCCUGAUUAUCAGUUCUGGGUCCCUGGCAAUGACUGUUGGGUACAAACUGCAAAGCUUUGUUCUGCAGGUAGGGCUGGGCUUUUCAUUGACCAUGGGUUGGAAUAGUUCUGUGGGCAUAGUGUGUCUUCUAAGACACUAUGUUUUCUGCACUUGUGACUUGAGAGCACCUUGAUAGCUCAGUUGGCAGAGCGGUGGACUGUAAGAUGCUCCUUGUGUCAAACGCUGUGAUCCUAAGGUCGCUUGUUCAACUCCAGCUGGAAGCACCUCCUUGUCAUUGGAAAUACCCCCAAGCCUUGUCUUUAUCUGUCAACUCCUCCAAAAUGUAAAAACACAAACAAGAUAACUCCUCCUUGAUUUUCCAACCAUCAAUUUUUCAUUCACCCAGCCUAAAAGUCCUGAUUACCAGUUCUGGGUCCCUGGCAAUUACUGUUGGGUACAAACUGUGAAGCUCUGUUCUGAAGGUAGGGCUGGGCUUUUCAUUGACCAUGUGGGUGGAUUAGUUUUGUGGGCAAGGUGUGUCGUCUCAGCCACUAUGUUUUCUGUAGUUGUCAGUAUGGCUCACCUUCAUAGCUCAGUUGGUAGAGCGGAGGACUAUAUGGAAGCUCCUCAUAUGAAAUUGCUCUGAUGCAAAGGUCGCUGGUUCAAAUCCAGCUCGAAGCAUGUGCAUUUCAUUCGUCUGAGCAACGUUCAAGUUCUACUUAUGUCGAAAUAAUGCCAAGCCUUGUCCUCAUUUGUGUACUCCUCCAAAAUUUAAAAACACAAACAAGAUAACUCCUCCUUGAUUUUCCAACCAUCAAUUUUUUAUUCACCCAGCCUAAAAGUCCUGAUUACCAGCUCUUGGUCCUUUGCAAUGACUGUUGGGAACAAUCUGUGAAGCUCUGUUCUGAAGGUAGGGCUGGGCUUUUCAUUGACCAUGUGGGUGGAAUAGUUGUGUAGACAAAGUGUGUCAUCUCAGCCACUAUGUUUUCUGCAGUUGUGAGUAGACAGCACCUUUAUAGCUCAGUUGGUAGAGUGGAGGACUAUAUGGAAGUUCCUUAUAUAAAAUGCUGUGAUGUGAAGGUCGCUGGUUCAACUCCAGCUAGAAGCAUGUGCCUUUCAUUGGUGUGACCAAUGUUCAAUUUCUAAUUAAUUUGAAAUAAUACCAAGCCUUGUCUUCAUUUGUGUACUCCUCCAAAAUUUAAAAACACAAACAAGAUAACUCCUCCUUUAUUUUCCAACUAUCAAUUUUUCAUUCACCCAGCCUAAAAGUCCUGAUUACCAGUUCUGGGUCCUUGGCAAUGACUGUUGGGUACAAACUGUGAAGCUCUGUCCUGAAGGUAGGACUGGGCUUUUGAUUGGCCAUAUCAAUCAAAACCCCAUCCUAAAAGUCCUGAUUACCAGUUCUGGGUCCCUGGUAUUGACUGUUGGGUACAAACUUCAAAGCUUUGUUCUGCAGGUAGGGCUGGGCUUUUGAUUGACCAUGGGGUCGAAUAGUUGUGUGGGCAUAGUGUGUUGUGUCAGCCACUGUGUUUUCUGCAGAGCACCCUUCAAUACCUCAGUUGGUAGAGCGGAGGACUGUAGGAUGUUCCCGAUAGAAAUUGCUGUGAUCCUUAGGUCGCUGGUUCAACUCCGUCUCGAAGCAUGUUCCUUUCAUCAGUGUGAGCAAUGUUCUGGAUCUAAUAAAAUCGAAAUAAUGCUUAGCCUUGUCUUUAUCUAUCAACUCCGUCACUUAAAAUGUACAAACACAAAUCAGAUAACUCCUAAUUUCCAUGUAAUUAAUUUCUUUGCUGGAGGAGGUGGGGUUUAUGUUCUGUACUGCGACCAGUCACCAGGGGGUGCUGUUUUCACAGAGGCUUCACCCAAGCAAGGAGGCAGAAAAGGUCUAAACAGUCUAUGAUCUGGCACCAUCUGGGAAUUACCAGGUUGUAAUCAAAACCUCAGGAGAAAAAUUAUAGAAGUAAAAAGAGUUAAUGGUAUGCUGUAAAGUUUUCUGUUUCCUCCUUUUGACAUAUAACCAUUUACUUCAUGAUAGCUAGCUUUUCUAUGGUUUUGGUAAGUAACGUAUUCAGGGGACAUCCCAGGAGUCAGGAGCAUAUCAACGCCUCACACAUUAGAGGACAUUUUGUCAAUAAAUCUGUUCUUGUUUCUAGACUAGGAAAAGGACAACGGUCUGGCUAACAGACUCUACUGUGCUAUGUGAAUGUUAACAUACUGAAUGAGGUGGCAUGUGCAAUGUAUGGUUCAACAUAGAAAACAGUUUCCUUAAAUGUAAGGUAUGAUUGGCACUGCACUCAAAUCAACAUUUUGUAUCAUCACCAAAUCAUUUUGGAUUUCACAUUAUUUAAAAAAACAAAACGUACACCCAGUUAUCUCUGGACUAAAGACAGGAGAAAACUUUGGUCGUAUAAUGUUCUGUAUUUUCAUAAGUGUUUCAAAGUUAAAGUAGCUCAUUUAUGUGUAUUGCAUACAAAAUCUUGUUUACUAAGAACCUAAAUGCCAUGGAAGAAACUUGGGAGUAAAUAUGUUUUAGCUCUUUGCCUCAGGCCUACCUUGGAGCAGUUGUGCUGUGUAUCAUAAAUGAGCAGUGAGAAAAAAAAAAAUCCUCACCGCAGGUGGUUUACAGGUUCAUGUUGGGGGGAAAAAAGGACUCAAAAGCCCUACCUCAAAGACACAUGAGGCUGAGAAAUUUCUCUGAGUACAAACACAGCUCUAAGAUGCUUUGAGAAAUUCCCAACCUGACACUUUUUUGCUCCAACAAACACAGACGGUGUCUCUCUGGGUCUGAAGCUGUCCCCUGCGACAUGGGUGUAUACCUUUCACGACGGCAUACAUGCCCAACCCUACCUAGCAUCUUGGUCCCUCUGAAAAUCCAGAAUCCAGCCCAGUAAUCCCCAAACUACAGAUAAAUCCUCUCUUCUUGGCAAAACCAGUAAAUCCUCACAAAACCCCUUCAGUCUCAACCUUCCAAAGAUUGUGCCACAGACAGCAGCGAAGGAAGAGAGGGGUGAACAUAUCACCAUUCAAACACACAAACUUAUUUUAUGAGAUUAAUGGUUGUAAAGGUAUUGAUCAUCAGAAUUCGAAAAUGAAUUGUUUGAAAAUGUUUAUACCUUCCUUCAAAUUGAAUUAUUGAUACAGACAUUUUGGCUCUCAAAGGUUUGGACAGACACUAUAACCUUUUUCUUGAUAUUCAGGUAAAAAUUAUUUCAUUGGACAAUUAUUCAUGAAUGGUGACGCUAACAUAGACACUGAAACAGGAGUGAUAUAAUCGUAUUUCUGGUUCGAGGGAGCUGAGUUCUGUACUGCCUGGAACAAAUUUUUUUUUUCCUGAAGUAACCAACAGGUGAUGAGAUAAAAGCAUUUUAAAUCACCUCAGUGUUUUUAAGAAGAACUCAAAUUAAAACUUUAAAACUUAAAUACACAUCCUUCACCCUCUAUUGAUUUGGGAAACAACCAAACACAACUAAACAUAAAGAAAAGUACCUCAGUUUAAUAGCACAGUUUCAGUGGACUAAAUCAGCCUCUACUUUGUGGUGGGACAGACGCACACCUGAUUUCAUCAUUACUAAACCCAAAGAGCAGACAAGCAACAUGGGUCAAAUGUGACUGCAGACCCAAGGGACCGUCUUUGUAGACUGGGAGUUUAGUCAUUCUUUUUAUAAGGUGAGUGGACAAGCUGCACCUGGUGCUCACUAGCAGUUGCUCAAUAUGACUUAAGGUGGGCUGAAUUUAAAGGAGGACCAGCUUACUCUGCAACAUUUGCUCAACCAAAUCAAUUAGACAAACAUGAAUAUAUAACUGUGGUAACCAGACUGGUUUGAACCGGCAAGCAGCAAUCUUCUUCCUUAUGAGAUGUCCUGCUCUCUUUAUGUCCAGCUGGUGCAGUAGGGAGAUAAUUUGAGGAUCCACAUCUGAGCAGGGGUCAUUCUGUAGGACAUCAUCACCGUUGAGACUGAAGUUGUGCAAAAAUGUGCAGCAAGCCAUUAUGUCAGGUGCAAAAUGGGGGUGAACCUCUAGAGGUUUGGGUUGUGUGGCUCUUAAACGUCUUACAUCACUCUAAAAGCUUGUUUCACGCCUGACUGUGCCCUGAAGUGAUGCAAAUUGUACCUUUGUAUUUUACAGAGUAUGCUCGUAGGAAAUAAUAAUCUACCAUCUCCAAGGAGGUAAUAGUCAGUCAGGAGAUACAGGGCUAAGGAUAGUAUACAGCGCCAUUAGGCUGAGGGCUUUUGUCAGGUGCUGAGCCUGGAUAACCCCACAAACACAUCAAUGAAUCUGCUCCUAAUAUUACAGACUGUUUGCAUUUGUAUCGGCAGCAGAAGCUUACCCCCAAUUUCAACCGCACCUGGAACAGCUACGAAAAGGCCGUACGCUCCGAUCGUAGCUGAUCGCAACCAUUCGAGUUAAUGUGUCUAUUUCCACUGGCUUCUUCCGUUCUGCUGCGGAUCAGUGGACUCCACAGCUGAUCGCAAGAGUCCUAUUUUUUAGUUUUAUUGAUAACUGAAGGGUUUUUCAUUGUUGUUCUAGCAGGCAAUGUGCAAGAACUUGGUGGUCCUCUAAAAGCCUCCCCAGGUAAAAACACAAAUUUCCCAAAAAUAUAUACAUACAAGUAUUUCUUUUUGGUGAAGAUACCAAUAUUAAAAAAGAGCAGCUUACUGCUUAUUCAUAGUGUUGCUGGGCAACCACCUCGUCAUCUGUCCUUGGCUAAUAUGUCUUUUCUAAUCAGGACCUCAUGCAACUACUGACACCUGUAAGUCUUUUGUAAUUCAUCUCAUAGAAUCCUUUCUUCCUCCCACAGUAACAUUUUCUUUCCUGAAACGGAUAAUGAACUGACCUCAUAAAAGUCCACCUUUUGUGUUUUUAAAAGGUUUGAGGAGGAUGGAACAGUUUAGAUAUUGUGAUUAACCUGAAUGUGAA
This 6786-nucleotide long non-coding RNA is filed under the name Xyrichtys novacula (pearly razorfish). The stretch from base 2882 to 2980 matches the Rfam family "tRNA". The record is from RNAcentral. Lineage: Eukaryota; Metazoa; Chordata; Actinopteri; Labriformes; Labridae.